Molecule: ribosomal RNA, 1471 nt
Filed under: metagenome
Description: bacterial LSU rRNA
Rfam family: Bacterial large subunit ribosomal RNA
Source: RNAcentral
AUAGCUCGUUCUCCCCGAAAUAGCUUUAGGGCUAGCCUCGCGUGAAUACUGCGGGUGGUAGAGCACUGGAAGAGCUAGGGCCCUUCACCGGGUACCAAACUCUACCAAACUCCGAAUGCCCGUUCGUCAUGCGCGGGAGUCAGACGGUGGGGGCUAAGCUUCAUCGUCAAAAGGGAAAGAGCCCAGACCCACAGCUAAGGUCCCUAAAUCCAUGCUAAGUGGAAAAGGAGGUGGGGACGCACUGACAGCCAGGAGGUUAGCUUAGAAGCAGCUNNNNNNNNNNUACCAGGUUACUGAAUCCAAUCAAACUUCGAAUGCCGCUAACAACAGCUUGGGAGUCAGACAGUGGGGGCUAAGCUUCAUUGUCGAGAGGGAAAGAGCCCAGAUCAUCAGCUAAGGUCCCAAAGUGCAGACUAAGUGGAAAAGGAAGUGGAGACGCACUGACAGCCAGGAUGUUGGCUUAGAAGCAGCCAUCCUUUAAAGAAAGCGUAAUAGCUCACUGGUCAAGCAGCUCCGUGCCGACAAUUCAACGGGGCUCAAGUCUGCCACCGAAGCUAUGAACUUGAACUGCUGCGGCAGUUCAUUUGGUAGGGGAGCGUUCUGUACAGUUCGAAGCGGCACCGUAAGGAGCCGUUGACGGUACUGAAGAGACCCUGCCGGCAUAAGUAGCGAUAAACCAGGUGAGAACCCUGGUCGCCGAAAGUCUAAGGUUUCCUGAAAAAGGUUAAUCCGUUCAGGGUUAGUCGGUCCCUAAGUCGAGGCCGAGAGGCGUAGACGAUGGGUAACAGGUCAACAUUCCUGUACUAUGAAGUGGACGUUAUCACGAUGGGGUGACGCAGGAGGAUAAGCGGGAUCUCUGAUGGAUGGGAUUUCACGAUCGAGAGGGAUUGGGUUGGCAAAUCCGCCCGAUCAUUAACCUCGAGAGUAGUGACGAGCUCGCAAGGGCUGGAUAAAGUCGCUGACUUCACACUGCCAAGAAAAACCUCUAAGGAGUCUGCUUUGUAACCGUACCGUAAACCGACACAGGUAGACGAGGAGAAUAUCCUAAGGCGCUUGAGAGAACACACGUUCAGGAACUCGGCAAAAUAGCUCCGUAACUUCGGAAUAAGGAGUGCCCCGGUAGGGUUUAUAGCCCGAGGGGGUUGCAAUGAAAUGGCCCAAGCGACUGUUUAACAAAAACACAGGUCUCUGCAAAGUCGAAAACGAAGUAUAGGGGCUGACGCCUGCCCGGUGCUGGAAGGUUAAAGGGAGAGGUUAGCCGCAAGGCGAAGCUUUGAAUUGAAGCCCCAGUGAACGGCGGCCGUAACUAUAACGGUCCUAAGGUAGCGAAAUUCCUCGUCGGGUAAGUUCCGACCUGCACGAAUGGCGUAACGAUUUGGGCGCUGUCUUAACGUGUGACUCAGCGAACUUGUAGUACCGGUGAAGAUGCCGGUUACCCGCAUCUAGACGGAAAGACCCCGUGCACCUUUAC